This 180-nucleotide ribosomal RNA is filed under the name uncultured bacterium. RNAcentral describes it as "partial 16S ribosomal RNA". It matches the Rfam family "Bacterial small subunit ribosomal RNA", at positions 1322 to 1500 of the family's 1533-position model. The record is from RNAcentral.
GAAGCUGGAAUCGCUAGUAAUCGCGGAUCAGAAUGCCGCGGUGAAUACGUUCCCGGGUCUUGUACACACCGCCCGUCACACCAUGGGAGUCGGAAAUGCCCGAAGCCGGUGACUCAACCUUUAAGGAGAGAGCCGUCGAAGGCAGGUCUGAUAACUGGGGUGAAGUCGUAACAAGGUAAC